RNAcentral lists this non-coding RNA (28 nucleotides) under Homo sapiens (human). Lineage: Eukaryota; Metazoa; Chordata; Mammalia; Primates; Hominidae. The record is from RNAcentral.
UCCAGAGAGGUGCACAGCUGAUGGAGUC